Molecule: transfer RNA, 61 nt
Filed under: Diaphanoeca grandis
Lineage: Eukaryota; Choanoflagellata; Acanthoecida; Stephanoecidae
Source: RNAcentral
UCGAAAAGUUUUUUUUUUUUUUAACAAAAGAACAGCAAAAAGAAAAAGAAAAAGAAAAAAA